AUUGAACGCUGGCGGCAGGCUUAACACAUGCAAGUCGAACGAGUGGCGGACGGGUGAGUAAUGCUUGGGAAUCUAGCUUAUGGAGGGGGAUAACUACGGGAAACUGUAGCUAAUACCGCGUACCAUAGGAUGAGCCCAAGUGGGAUUAGGUAGUUGGUGAGGUAAAGGCUCACCAAGCCGACGAUCUCUAGCUGGUCUGAGAGGAUGACCGGCCACACUGAGACGGAAAAACGGCCGAUGCUCCACCGGGAGGCAGGAGUGGGGAUUAGUGCGCAAUGGGGGCACCCGGACGCAGCCAUGCGGCGUGAAUAAAGAAGUCCUUCGGGUUGUAAAGUUCUUUCGGUAGCGAGGCGUUAACUACAGAAGAAGCACCGGCUAACUCCGUGCCAGCAGCCGCGGUAAUAC
Molecule: ribosomal RNA, 405 nt
Filed under: uncultured bacterium
Lineage: Bacteria
Description: partial 16S ribosomal RNA
Rfam family: Bacterial small subunit ribosomal RNA
Source: RNAcentral